Molecule: non-coding RNA, 184 nt
Organism: Pocillopora verrucosa
Lineage: Eukaryota; Metazoa; Cnidaria; Anthozoa; Scleractinia; Pocilloporidae
Source: RefSeq, a predicted model, not a curated record
AGGAAUUUCUUAACAAAGGAACUCAUCAGCUAUUGUUGGUGCGACACCAAUUCAAGGUUGCCUUUUUCAAUGAGCUAAGACAAGACCCUCACUCUGCUAUCAAGCACUACAGGCAAGCAUACAGUCUUCUUGGAGAAAUCAAGACAACUGACAUAAACAUACUAGAGAUCAAAGUUGUUGCUGG